Molecule: long non-coding RNA, 2421 nt
Filed under: Mytilus galloprovincialis (Mediterranean mussel)
Lineage: Eukaryota; Metazoa; Mollusca; Bivalvia; Mytilida; Mytilidae
Source: RNAcentral
UCCGGUUCCUUUUAUUUUGUAUUUUGUAUUUUAUUUAUAGUUUUUAAUUUCAGCUUUUGCUGAGUCAAACAUUGUAAAGUUUUUGAUAUUAUGAAGAAAUAUGCCCAGAUUAAAACAUUCGUCCAUGAAAAAAUGCUACACAAGUUCCCAGUCAGGUAAAUCUCAAUUUGGUCGAUUGCGAUAUCACCAGAAAAUGCUUCAGAAAUUAUACAAGAUUUGUUGUGAUUUCGCAACCGAUUGUAAGAACUAUUUUUAAAAAGCCGUAUUGAACAAUUAUUGAUUGUACGCCUACACUGUGUCAUUGUGUCCAGAUUAUUUGUCUCAUACAUGACAUACAUGACAUAACAAGGUACAAUAUAAUUAUUAUUAUUAAUAUAAGUGUUUGUAUUUAUUGUUCAAUACUAGUGUACACCAGGAACAUAUACAAAAUGUAUUUUAGAGGUAAAGUUACAUAUCUUAAAUAUCAGAGGCGGAUUUAGGGGGCCCCCCUUUUUGGGAAAUAAAUUGGUUGCUUAUAUAGGGAAGCAUGACUGGAGCGGGCCCCCACUUAUGAAAAUUCCUGGAUAUGCCACUGGAUAUUCAUUCAGAUCUUGCGCUGUAAAAUUAAAAUUUUGAAGAAGAUUAUAGGAUAAUAGGGAGUUUAUUCAUUUCUUGAGACUUAUUAUGACAAUUAAAAUCUUACAAUUGCAUGAAAUGUAAAUACAAAUGUACAUUUAUGUAACAUGUUAUUGUAUUAUAUACAUUUGUACAUUUGCAAAUAAAAAUGACUUGCAAUGCAUCAUUUGUAUAAGUAUAGCUUAUGAAUUUCAGUAAGCUACAUGUAUAUGUACAUUUUUGUAUGUAACAUGCAUAAUACAGUAUGAAAAAGCCCCAGCAUGACAAUAUACAAUGUAUGAAACAAUUCAUCAGUGAAAACUAAAAGCUACAUUUUUGAAAAUCAAGAAACAGUUACAUUUGUACAACAAUGAAUAACAUGUUCUUGACUAAGGGAAGAUUCAUAAAGAAUGGUGCAGGACUGGGUCAAACUGGUUUGGCUUUGCUAAAAUUUAAAUUCCCACAUAAGAACAAACUAUAAAAAUCAGUUAAAAAAGGGCUUUGUUGAAGCCCAUAAGCAUGAUAAGGUGAUCUAUAGUUGUUAAUUUCUGUUACAUUUUGUCUCUUGUGGAGAGUUGUCUCAUUGGCAAUCAUACCACAUCCUCUUUUUAUAUUAACUCAUCAGAUGAAUAGUAUCAUACAAAUAGAAAUAGAAAAACACAGAGUGGACAUUGAAGGGUACUUGUAUACUAAGUACUGAUUUGAGAGUAUUCACAGUUACUGACAGCUUGUUCAAAGCCUUUAAAACAACUAAUAAAAAACCACGCAUCUAUGAUUAAACAUGCCACAGUGGCAUGACAGUGCAACAUGAGAACAUACAGUAAAAGUACUAAAGUAGUCAUGGUAGUCUGCACUAUUACCAUUAUAGUUCUAUAUAUGCCCCAGAAAAGUAAAAUCUUAUUCUGUCUAGUUAGCUUUUGUAAAACUUUGUUUAAGACACUGUCAGAAAAGUAUUGGAAUAUUGGCAUGAUUGGUCUUUGGACUUGUAAGUGAUCAGAAAAAGAUUUUGGUGCAGACUGGUUCACUGGUUGAAAAGGGUUUAAUUUCUCAGAUUGUUUUUUUUUUUUUUUUAACUCUUCAAGAGUUACUGAAAGCUUGUUCUGAUUAUAAUCUACUAACUUGUAAACACUUGAAAUGACAUGAAUAAGAUAUUAUCUGCUCAUCAUGCUCAUAACCAAUACAAAAAGAUAUGAAUAAGAUAUCAUCUGCUCAACACAUGAAUAAGAUUUCAUCUGCUCAUCAUGCUCAUAACUAAUACAAAAAGACAUGGAUAAGAUAUCAUCUGCUCAAGACAUGAAUAAGAUUUCAUCUGCUCAACACAUGAAUAAGAUGUCAUCUGCUCAGCAUGCUCAUAACCAAAACAAAAAGACAUGAAUAAGAUAUCAUCUGCUCAAAAAAUGAAUAAGAUACAGUAUCAUCUGCUCAAGACAUGAAUAAGUUAUCAUCUGCUCAUCAUGCUCAUACCAACAUGACCAAUACAAAAAGACAUGAACAAGAUAUCAUCUGCUUAUCAAUGGCAUCAUGCUCAUACCAAAACUUCUUUUAAUUUGGUGAGUUAAUUUUUACACUUUUAUCACAGGUACCAUAUAGUUAAAGAAAAAAUGAUUUCUGUGGAUCUUUGCAAUUGUCAUGUGUUUAUGUCUUUUGAAUGCGAAUUCCAUUUGAAUGUAAGUCACAUUUGUUUUGUAUAUAUUAUACAUUAUUUGCAUAACAUGCAUAAUAUUAUUUAUAUAUUUCAGAUAUAACACUGAAACAUUAUGCAGAUGCAGAAUCUCAAAAGUUGAAAGUUUCAAAAGGUGCUGCAAAUGCCAUACAUAAUGAAGUAAG